Molecule: ribosomal RNA, 508 nt
Filed under: uncultured glomeraceous AM fungus
Lineage: Eukaryota; Fungi; Glomeromycota; Glomeromycetes; Glomerales; Glomeraceae
Description: SSU rRNA
Rfam family: Eukaryotic small subunit ribosomal RNA
Source: RNAcentral
AGCAGCCGCGGUAAUUCCAGCUCCAAUAGCGUAUAUUAAAGUUGUUGCAGUUAAAAAGCUCGUAGUUGAAUUUCGGGGUUAGUAGGUUGGUCAUGCCUCUGGUAUGUACUGGUCUCACUGACUCCUCCUUCCUGAUGAACCUUAAUGCCAUUAAUUUGGUGUUUUGGGGAAUUUGGACUGUUACUUUGAAAAAAUUAGAGUGUUUAAAGCAAACUAACGCUUGAAUACAUUAGCAUGGAAUAAUGAAAUAGGACGUUCGAUCCUAUUUUGUUGGUUUCUAGGAUUGACGUAAUGAUUAAUAGGGAUAGUUGGGGGCAUUAGUAUUCAAUUGUCAGAGGUGAAAUUCUUGGAUUUAUUGAAGACUAACUACUGCGAAAGCAUUUGCCAAGGAUGUUUUCAUUAAUCAAGAACGAAAGUUAGGGGAUCGAAGACGAUCAGAUACCGUCGUAGUCUUAACCAUAAACUAUGCCGACUAGGGAUCGGAUGAUGUUAAUUCUUUAAUGACUCA